UGGAGUAUGUGGUUUAAUUCGAUGCAACGCGAAGAACCUUACCUGGUCUUGACAUCCCGGAGACCCUUAGGAAACUAGGGGGUGCUUCCAUCUGGAAGAAUCUGGAGACAGGUGCUGCAUGGCUGUCGUCAGCUCGUGUCGUGAGAUGUUGGGUUAAGUCCCGCAACGAGCGCAACCCUUGCCUUUAGUUGCCAGCAGUUCGGCUGGGCACUCUAAAGGGACUGCCGGUGUUAAACCGGAGGAAGGUGGGGAUGACGUCAAGUCCUCAUGGCCUUUAUGACCAGGGCUACACACGUACUACAAUGGCCGAUACAAAGGGCAGCGACACUGCGAGGUGAAGCCAAUCCCGUAAAAUCGGUCUCAGUCCGGAUUGGAGUCUGCAACUCGACUCCAUGAAGUUGGAAUCGCUAGUAAUCGUGAAUCAGAAUGUCACGGUGAAUACGUUCCCGGGCCUU
Molecule: ribosomal RNA, 455 nt
Filed under: uncultured Desulfobulbus sp.
Lineage: Bacteria; Pseudomonadati; Thermodesulfobacteriota; Desulfobulbia; Desulfobulbales; Desulfobulbaceae
Description: bacterial SSU rRNA
Rfam family: Bacterial small subunit ribosomal RNA
Source: RNAcentral